RNAcentral lists this small RNA (336 nucleotides) under Histoplasma ohiense. RNAcentral's name for it is "hypothetical lncRNA". The record is from RNAcentral. Lineage: Eukaryota; Fungi; Ascomycota; Eurotiomycetes; Onygenales; Ajellomycetaceae.
UACAAAUGAGCCGAUUAUUGCAGCAUGUCAGGAAGAUGCCUCAGUAAAAAACAAAACAAAUAGAAAUCCAGACCGCCACCACUUUCUCCUCUCAAGAGAAAGAACUGUACUAAAGCUUUAUCCUUUUGCUAUCAAUUCUGUUAUCAGCCAGAGGGUCUGACAAGGUCAUUGUACGCAGUAAGUUUGCUCAGAUGGUUUUUUGGGGCUUUCGUUUGGAAGCUGUAUUGCAAUUUCGCUGGGUUUGAUGGACGUUGUUUCGGCGAUUCCUCUGCGACAGGAUCCUUUAUGCUCAUUGAUUUGUUUUAUAUACAUCAAUAAAAAUAACUAUAGAAUGUC